Molecule: long non-coding RNA, 3640 nt
Filed under: Homo sapiens (human)
Lineage: Eukaryota; Metazoa; Chordata; Mammalia; Primates; Hominidae
Description: HSALNT0327440
Source: RNAcentral
UCCAGCCCCAGUUUGAAAGUCUUCAUAACUCUUUUCCUUAAAAAUAUUUCUCGCCUCUCCCUCUCCCCCUCCCCCUCCCCCUCUCCCUCUCCCCACGGUCUCCCUCUCCCUCUCUUUCCAGGGUCUCCCUCUGAUGCCCAGCCGAAGCUGGACUGUACUGCUGCCAUCUCGGCUCACUGCAACCUCCCCGCCUGAUUCUCCUGCCUCAGCCUGCAGAGUGCCUGCCAUUGCAGGCACGCGCCGCCACGCCUGACUGGUUUUCGUAUUUUUUUGGUGGAGAUGGGGUUUCGCUGUGUUGGCCGGGCUAGUCUCCAGCUCCUAACCGCGAGUGAUCCGCCAGCCUCGGCCUCCGGAGGUGCCGGGAUUGCAGACGGUGUCUGGUUCAAUCAGUGCUCAAUGGUGCCCAGGCUGGAAUGCAGUGGCGUGAUCUCGGCUCGCUACAACCUCCACCUCCCAGCCACCUGCCUUGGCCUCCCAAAGUGCCGAGAGUGCAGCCUCUGCCCGGCCGCCACCCCGUCUGGGAAGUGAGGAGCGUCUCUGCCUGGCCGCCUAUCGUCUGGGACGUGAGGAGCCCCUCUGCGUGGCUGCCCAGUCUGGAAAGUGAGGAGCGUCUCUGCCCGGUCGCCAUCCCAUCUAGGAAGUGAGGAGCGCCUCUUCCCGGCCGCCAUCCCAUCUAGGAAGUGAGGAGCAUCUCUGCCUGGCCGCCCUUCUUCUGAGAUGUGGGGAGCGCCUUUGCCCCACCGCCCUGUCUGGGAUGUGAGGAGCGCCUCUGCCAGGCCGCGACCCCGUCUGGGAGGUGAGGAGCGUCUCUGCCCAGCCGCCCCGUCUGAGAAGGGAGGAGACCCUCCGCCCGGCAACCGCCCCGUCUCAGAAGUGAGGAGCCCUUCCACCCGGCAGUCACCCCGUCUGGGACGUGAGGAGCGUCUCCGCCAGGCAGCCACCCCGUCCGGGAGGGAGGUGGGGGUCAGCCCCCACCAGGCCAGCCGCCCCGUCCGGGAGGGAGGUGGGGGGGGAUCAGCCCCCUGCCCGGCCAGCCGCCCCGUCCGGGAGGAAGGUGGGGGGGCCAGCCCCCCGCCCGGCUAGCCGCCCCGUCUGGGAGGUGAGGGGCGCCUCUGCUCAGCCGCCCCUACUGGGAAGUGAGGAACCCCUCUACCCGGCCAGCCGCUCCGUCCGGGAGGGAGGUGGGGGGGUCAGACCGGCCAGCCGCCCCGUCCGGGAGGGAGGUGGGGGGGUCAGCCCCCCGCCCGGCCAGCCGCCUCGUCCGGGAGGUGAGGGGCGCCUCUGCCCGGCCACCCCUACUGGGAAGUGAGGAGCCCCUCUGCCCGGCCAGCCGCCCCGUCCGGGAGGGAGGUGGGGGGGUCAGCCCCCCGCCUGGCCAGCCGCCACGUCCGGGAGGGAGUUAGGGGGGUCAGCCCCCUGCCCAGCCAGCCCCCUCGUCCCGGGGGGUGAGGGGCGCCUCUGCCGGGCCGCCCCUACUGGGAAGUGAGGAGCCCCUCUGCCCGGCCAGCCGCCCCGUCCGGGAGGGAGGUGGGGGGGGUCAGCCCCCCGCCCGGCCAGCUGCCUCGUCCGGGAGGUGAGGGGCGCCUCUGCCCGGCCGCCCCUACUGGGAAGUGAGGAGCCCCUCUGCCCGGCCACCACCCCGUCUGGGAGGUGUACCCAACAGCUCAUUGAGAACCGGCCAUGAUGACAAUGGCGGUUUUGUGGAAUAGAAAGGGGGGAAAUGUGGGGAAAAGAUUGAGAAAUCGGAUGGUUGCCGUGUCUGUGUGGAAAGAAGUAGACAUGGGAGACUUUUCAUUUUGUUCUGUACUAAGAAAAAUUCUUCUGCCUUGGGAUCCUGUUGAUCUGUGACCUUACCUCCAACCCUGUGCUCUCUGAAACAGGUGCUGUGUCCACUCAGGGUUAAAUGGAUUAAGGGUGGUGCAAGAUGUGCUUUGUUAAACAGAUGCUUGAAGGCAGCAUGCUCGUUAAGAGUCAUCACCACUCCCUAAUCUCAAGUACCCGGGGACACAAACACUGAGGAAGGCCGCAGGGUCCUCUGCCUAGGAAAUCCAGAGACCUUUGUUCACUUGUUUAUCUGCUGACCUUCCCUCCACUAUUGUCCUAUGACCCUGCCAAAUCCCCCUCUGUGAGAAACACCCAAGAAUGAUCAAUAAAAAAAAAUAAUAAUAAUUAAAAAAAAUAUUUCUCACCUGGGCGUGGUGGCUCACGCCUGUAAUCCUAGUACUUUGGGAGGCUGAGGUAGGCAGAUCAUGAGGUCAGGAGUUCGAGACCAGACUGGCCAACAUGGUGAAACGCCGUCUCUUCCAAAAAUACAAAAAUUAGCAGGGCGUGGUGGCACACGCCUGUAGUCCCAGCUAUUCAGGCAGACAGCUGAGGCAAUAGAAUAGCUUGAACCGGGAGGUGGAGGUUGCAGUGAGCCGAGAUUGUGCCACUGCACUCCAGCCCGGGUGACAGAGCGAGACUCUGUCUCAAAAAAUAAAAAUAAUAAAUAAAUAAAAUUCCCAUUUUUUGAUCAAAUGAAAAAAAAAAUCUACAAAGUAGAAAACCCCAAAAACCAUAACACUAGAUAAUAGUUGACCACUAAUGCCUGAAAUGAUUAUCAUGAGCGAUUAUUUCUUUGGGUCUAGAAGGCCUUUGUGUAGAUGAGCGACCACUAUGACCAAUUCACUCCUUGCCUACCAUCCAGACACCUUAGCCUCACUGCCAACAAGCUAAGAGAUGCUGGCUGAGUAAGGGCCUACUCUGGCUUAUAAGGACCCCUGCAGCUCCAGUGAUUUAUAAUUCUAAGUAAACUAACACUUUAAAGAGAUGAGUCAAGAGCUGCUUGAUGGAAAAUCACUCCAGGCAAAGGAUACUGAGUGCAAAGGAAUGACGGGGGCAUACAUGGCUGGAGCAGGAUGAUGAUAUGAAUCACAGGCGAUAACAUCAAGGAGGUGGUGUGUGUGUGUGGAUGGGGAAGAGGGGACAGGAUGUGUAAACCUUUGAUAGAUUUUGGUUUUCACUCAGAGGGAAGUGGAAAGCACUUUAGUAUUUUUGUUUUCUUUUCCUUUUUUUGUUCUUGGAGCAAAAAAUGGAGUGUUGCUCUUGUUGCCCAGGCUGGAGUGCAAUGGUGCCAUCUCGGCUCACCACAACCUCCGCCUCCCAGGUUCAAGUGAUUGAACAGCCUCCCGAGUAGCUGGGAUUCCAGGUGCCCGACACCACACAUGGCUAAAUUCUUUUGUAUUUUUAGUAGAGACAGGGUUUGGCCAUGUUGGCCAGGCUGGUCUCAAACUCCUGAUCUCAGGUGAUCUGCCUGCCUCGGCCUCCCAAAGUGCUAGGAUUACAGGCAUGAGCCACUGUACCCAGCCUAAUUUUCAUUUUAUAAUUUUUUUUUUUUUUGAGACAGAGUCUUGCUCUGUUGCCCAGGCUGGAGUGCAGUGGCACAAUCUCUGGUCACUGCAACCUCCGCCUCCAGGACUCAAGCGAUUGUCCUGCCUCAGCCUCCGGAGUAGCUGGGAUUAUAAGCCUGUGCCACCACGUCUGGCUAAUUUUUAGUAGAGAUGGGGUUUCACCAUGUUGGCCAGGCUGGUCUCGAACUCCUGACCUCAAGUGAUCUGCCUGCCUUGGCUUCCCAAAGUGCUGGGAUUACAGGUGUGAGCCA